ACUUUUUUAUUUUCUUUUUUCUGGCCUUCUCUACUACCGGUGCUUGUCGCCGAAGAUGCGGGCCUGUCUCCAGUGCUACUCUCAGUCGUCACUAGAGCUUCACUGCUAGGGAUCAUGAAAAUAAGCAUGAAAGGGUCGAAACCCUUGUAUUUUUGACUGUUGCUUUUUCUUACUUCUCUUUUUCCAUCGCUGAUUUCCC
This 199-nucleotide long non-coding RNA is filed under the name Phoenix dactylifera (date palm). RNAcentral's name for it is "long non-coding RNA (PDAC_LNC008415)". The record is from RNAcentral. Lineage: Eukaryota; Viridiplantae; Streptophyta; Magnoliopsida; Arecales; Arecaceae.